AUACGGAGGGUGCAAGCGUUACUCGGAAUCACUGGGCGUAAAGCGCGCGCAGGCGGCUUGAUAAGUUGGAUGUGAAAGCCUACGGCUCAACCGUAGAACUGCAUCCAAAACUGUCAGACUAGAGUGUGGGAGAGGAAGAUGGAAUUAGUUGUGUAGGGGUAAAAUCCGUAGAGAUAACUAGGAAUACCAAAAGCGAAGGCAAUCUUCUGGAACACUACUGACGCUGAGGCGCGAAAGCGUGGGGAGCAAACAGGAUUAGAAACCCCAGUAGUCC
This 274-nucleotide ribosomal RNA is filed under the name uncultured bacterium. Its description in RNAcentral is "partial 16S ribosomal RNA". It matches the Rfam family "Bacterial small subunit ribosomal RNA", at positions 523 to 796 of the family's 1533-position model. The record is from RNAcentral.